UAACAUCUAACCAUAAACUAAUCAAAUUAGGGUUUUAAGAAGUAUUACCUUUGAAGCUUUCAAAAGGUUUGAUGUCUUCUUACCAAUUCUACCCGAGACCACCACUAGUACUCAACUGCUAUCCUCUAGACAAAGAACCGGGUUGUGGGACCCAAUUUUGGUGUAGAAAGUAAUGGAGAUAAAAUGAGAUUGGAAGCUUUCUUUUUUCUUUUGUUGAGAUUAUGAAAAUGAUAAAAGAGGCAAAAGUCCUUCAACAUUUGAAAACAUCUCUAUUUAUAGCCUAAUUACAUGCAAAAAUGCAUGCAAUUCAAUUGCCAAAUCUCAACACCUAAUAUUCCACUAACAAUUAGUGGAACUUAGUGGGCUAGGUGUCUAUAUCUCAUAUAGCCACAUAUCCCACUAAGAGUUAGUGGGAUUAUCCAACAAAAUGUUGGAUUUUCCCACUAACUUAGUCCAAGGGUAAAAUGGUCAUUAGAUUUUUCUAGUCAAAAGUCAAACUUUGACUUUUCUAAGUCAAAAGUCAAUAUUUUGACUUUUUACCAUUUUGUCCGUCUUGACUAAUUCCAACCUCCCGAGCAUGAAUCCGCAUUCAUUUUUCCAAAAUUCAAAUCACAUUUGAAUAUAAGGCCGGUCAAAGUUUGACUUUUCAAAGUCAAAAGUCAACAUUUUGACUUUUUACUAUUUUUGACCAAUUCCGAGCUUCUUAGUAUGAAUCCGCAUUCAUACUUAUAGUAUGUAAAACAUAAAGCUCUAUUUCUAAUUAGAAGACCGACGAUUAUAUCACUGUAUAUGUCGGUUUUCCUUUCUUCUCCCUAUUCGAACAAUUCGACUUAUUUCAUCACACUGUUCUAAGUUUAAUCCAUAUGAGCUAGCAGAGGAACCUAAUGGACCUAUAGAUCAUGGGCUCCAACGAUUCAAGAUUAACUAGCUAAACUCUUUUAAACCGAGUUAAUCAACAUUCGUUAACUAACGGGUCAUUCCACUAAAGUCCCGUAGUUGCACUCCCCUCACUAUAGAUAUAUUUGUGUCCAUUUGAUAAAACCAUAAUCAGUAAGUUAAUCCUUCACAGGUUGCUCGUAACCUUGGCUGGGUCAAAAUACCGUUUUACCCCCAAGAUUACAUCUUGCUCCUUAAGUCCCACUAAUCCACUAUUGAACAAUUGGUUUAAGGUUCAACCUAUAAACUUAAUCCCUCUCGGGCCAAUGAGAGGGUGGGGCCCCUUGUUCAAGACUUGGAUUCAGUGCUUAAGAGAGCAACCUAUCUACUAACCCUAAAGCGGGUAGGAGUGAAUUCCAUCUUGUACCCUAUGUUCCCAGCUAUCCACCCGAUCUUACCCCUGAAAUGGGAGGCUUAUUGGGCCAACGCUGAUGAGCUGCCCUCACCUAUGCAGAUCUAAGGAUAAUCUCGUAUGAACAGGAGUUCAUAGUUAACUCAGGAUUAAGACUAAGUUACCUAGGUCAUCAAUAAUUGAGAUAGUCAGUUUUAAACAGUAAACGGUGUUAUAACGUAAAAAUGACUAAUUCAUGGUUCAGUCUUAUGUAAACAUUUUACAUAGGAUGCCCCCACUUUCAUGUCUCUACAUGAACGAUUAGGAUCACAUCGUUUGUACUACAAAGUGGGCCGCAUCCAUAGUCUCUCAAAAUAAGGCGCCCAACCUUUAUUUCAUAUACUAUAGACUAUUUAGGCUAUAUACUCGAACUUGAUCCACGUUUAUGUUUACACAUAAAGUUCAAGUUUAUUCAAAAAAUAGCCUUGGAACUUUGAUUUAUUGGAUUUAAGAUUAUAAUAUUUAAUUUCUCAAUAACAACUUUAUUGAAUAGAAUAUGAUUUACAAACUACGAGUUUUAGGACAAAAAAUUCCAACAAACUCCCACUUGGACUAAAAUUCCUAGUGGUAUGAGAGAUGUGGUGUGAGAGAAUAUAUAUGAAACUAGGGCACAUGGCCAAUAAGUCUCCCACUUGUCCUAGUUUACAAACAUCGUACACCUAAACUGUGUAGGUGACCCUCAAACACUUUAGCCAUGAGGGCUUUUGUAAAAUGAUCAGCUUCCAUUGUGGAAUCAGCUAUACAAGUUUGCUUUAUGCUUCUCCAAACUACUGCUCCUCCAUUUAGAGUAAAUACUGAUUCUGAUGUAGACUUUCUAACAUCUUUAUUAGUUUGGAAAUCGAAUCAGUGUAUCCAGUAAGGAUCAUAUCCUUUGUACGAUACAUGAGCAUGUAGAAUGUUUUUAACGGCUGUCCAGUGAUCACGUCCAUGAUUGGAUUGAUACCUACUGACCAUCCCUACUGAGUAGCAAAUGUCAGGUCUAGUACAUAACAUUGCAUACAUUAAACUUCCAACAGCGGAAGCAUAGGGAAUAUUUCUCAUAUCCUCAACUUCUUGAGGUGUCUUAGGACAUUGUUCCUUUGACAAAUGAAUUCCAUAUCUGUACGGCAGCAGACCCUUUUUGGAAUUCUGCAUUUUAUAUCUAGACAACAUUUUGUCUAUGUAAGAUGCUUGAGACAUGGCUAGUGUUUUGUUCUUACGGUUUCGAACAAUUUGGAUUCCGAGAACGUAUUGUGCAUCUCCCAGAUCUUUCAUUUGAAAUUGCAUAGCUAGCCAUUUCUUGAUAUCAGUAAGAUAUCCUACGUCAUUUCCAAUAAGUAGAAUAUCAUCUACAUAUAAGACUAAAAAAUGCUAUAAUGGAAUUGACGACCUUUUGUAAACACAAGGCUCGUCAACAUUUUGUUCAAAGCCAUAAGAUUUUGAUCGCAAUAUCAAAUCUUAUAUUCCAGGAUCUAGAAGCUUGUUUUAAUCCAUAAAUGGAUUUUUUAAGCUUACAAACCUUUUGUUCUUGAUCUUGUUUUAUAAACCCCUCUGGUUGAGACAUAUAGAUACUCUCUUCAAGAUUACCGUUCAAAAAAGCUGUCUUGACAUCCAUCUGCCAAAUUUCAUAAUCAUAAAAAGUGGCGAUGGAUAAGAGUAUUCUAAUUGACUUUAACAUGGCAACGGGAGAGAAAGUUUCCUCAUAGUCUACUCCCUCUCUCUAGGUAUAACCCUUUGCCACAAGUCGAGCCUUAAAAGUCUGUACUUUACCGGCAUGGUCUCGUUUUCUCUUGUAGAUCCAUUUACAACCAAUAGGUUUUACGUCAUUUGGUUGAUCUACUAGAGUCUAGAAAGAAUUAAAGUACAUAGACUCCAUUUCGAGGUCCAUGGCUUUGAUCCAUUGGUCACGAUCUACAUCUUUCAUUGCCUGUUUAUAGGUUAAUGGAUCCUCUAUGCCAUCGUCAGGUAUGACGACUUGAGUUUCAAUUAAACCCAAAUAGCGAUCAGGCUGAUGAACAACCCUCCCACUACGUCGAGGCUCUCUCAACUGUUGAGAAGGAUGUGAUUGACCAGAUUUCCUAGUCUUAUCAACUACUUUAGUGGAUGAACUAGGUUUUAUCUAUAGCACUUUUGGAAAUUUCUUUAAAUACUAGUUUACUACGAGGUGAUGAUGAUGUGGUCUUCCUCUAAGAAUGUGGCAUUUGUUGACACAAAUAUUUUAUUUUCUUGAGGAUCAUAAAACAAACCACCUCUUGAUUCUUUUGGAUAACCUAUAAAAAAGCAUAAUUUUGAACGAUGUUCCAAUUUCUUUGGAUUUUGUACCAACACAUGUGCUGGACAACCCCAAAUUUUAAAAUGACGUAAACUGCCUUUACGCCCUUUCCAUAGCUCAUAAGGUGUUUCUGAAACACUUUUAGAGGGAACAUUAUUCAAAAUAUAAGCAGCUGUUUCUAAAGCAUAUCCCAAAAAGAAUCUGACAUCUGAGAAAAACUCAUCAUAGAGCGAACCAUGUCUAACAAGGUCCAGUUUCUUCUUUCUGAUACACCGUUCUGUUGAGGUGUACUAGGUGCAGAGAGUUGUGACUGGAUUCCAUUUUCUAUUAAAUAGUCUCGGAAUCGUAAGUCCAUAUACUCUCCACCUCGAUCUGAUCGAAGUAUUUUUAUUGUUUUACCUAAUUCGUUUUCUACUUCAGCCUUAUAUUCUUUGAACUUUUCAAGACUAUUAGACUUAUGAUGUAUUAGGUAAAUAUGACCAUACCUUGAAUAAUCAUCAAUGAAGCUAAUGAAAUAUUCAUAUCCACCUCGAGUUUUGACAUUCAUUGGUCCACAAAGGUCCGAAUGUACGAGCUCUAAGGGUCCUUUGGCUCUUAGACCUUUUCCAGUAAAAGAUCUCUUGGUCAUUUUUCCUUCAAGACAAGAUUCACAAGGAGGUAAAGAGUUAUCUUCUAACGGACUUAGAAGCCCACUUUUAACCAAUCUCCCAAUCCUAUUGAGAUUUAUGUGACCAAGUCUUAAGUGCCAUAAAUAGGCAUUAGAAGAAACUUUUUGUCUUUUAUUCUGAGUUUUCAGCUGUUCUGAAUAUUUCAGUAUUUAAGACAAAAUUUGCUCUAGUUGGUCUUAACUUAUAUAAGUUGUCUUCAAGUAUAGCAGAACAAACUAGAAUACCUUUAUAGAAAACGAACGCUUCAUUAAUUUCAAAAGAUAUUCUAUACAUUUGUUCCAAAAUACAAGAGAUAGAUAUUAAAUUUCUUUUCAUUUGAGGUACAUAUAAGACAUUCUUAAGUAUGACAUAUCUAUCUCUAAAAAACAACUUUAAAUCUCCCACUGCUGAAGCUGAGACCAUCUCUCCUGUUCCAACCUUGAGAGUGAUCUCACCUUCUGAAAGCUUUUUCAAGAACUAUUUUCCUGAAAUGAGAAGCAAAUAUGGUUAGUGGCUCCUGAAUCUAGUAUCCAGGUAGAAUUUUCAUAUUCCACUAAACAUGUUUCUACAACUAGUAAAUCAUAUUUACCUUGUGUUUCCUUCUCUGCCUUUUUUUCUGCAAGGUAUUUUGGGCAGUUUCUUAACCAGUGCCCGUUUUGGCCACAAUGGUAACACUUACCUUUUUCUGCACCUUUCUUACCCUUGUUCUGUUUGGGAGUCUUUCCCUUUCCCUUCUUUUUUAUUUGAGCAUUAGGUUUUGAGGGUCCAGCUUUGGUUUUAGAGGACGAUCCUCUUAUAAAUUUUCUUUUUGUGGUAGCAACAUUUGCUUCCACUUGUUUUCCUUUACCCAUAGUUAGGUUUUGGAAUCGCUGGAGUUCAUUCAGAAGGGUUGUCAAGUUAAAUUCUAUCUUGUUCAAAGACGCAUUCGUUUGGAAUGGAAUGAAGCUCUUCGGAAGAGACUCUAAGAUAAAACUAACUUGAUUAACCUCUUCGAUGGGACCACCAUUCACUUCAGCGAUGUUGAAGUGCAUCAUCAUGUCCAGAACAUGUUCUCUAACAGAGGUCCCUUCCUUCAUACGCUUAGUGUAAAUGUAUUUGACUGCCUCGUGUCUUAAGGACCAUUCUGGUUGCCCAAACAUUCCCCUUAAUGAAUCCAUAAUCUCUUUAGCCGUGGCUAAGGAUUCAUGUUUCUUUGCCAAUACAUCAGACAUGCUGGCAAGAAUGUAAACACGGGCUUUUUCAUUAGCUUUUAUCCAUCGAUCAUAUGCAUCCCGACUAGUUCGGUUAGCAUUAGAGGCAGGGUUUUGAGGACAUUCCUCAGUUAAGACAAAUCUUAAAUCGUCAACCACUAGUAUUGUGUUAAGAUUUGAUUUCCAAGCCGCAUAAUUAUCGCCAUUAAGUUUUUCGGAAGCUAAAAGUUGAACUAUUGAGCUAUUCAUGCUGAAAAACAAACAUAUUCUUUUUAGGAAAAAACUAUAAUCAUAAAAAAUAUCCAAUCUAAUUUAGCAAUUACUAAUAAUGUACCCUUUCAUUAUUUGUAUUUUGCAACAAUAUUUCAAAGGUUUAGAACAACCUUCUCCGAAGGGUAGUUGAUUAUUCCUCCUUUGAACCAAGACAAUCUUGACUAGAUGCUAUCUCAAGAAUAACUCUUUAUUCUUUAUAGCACUUAGUUAUCGCUACUUUAGUCAAGAAUAUACUAACAACUUAGUAAUUCUUGUAAGUGUUACCCACCAUUUUCAGAUUUUAUAGAUUAGAAUCAUUUAUGAAAACUAAUCUAAGAAAUCCUAUCCAGUUUUGGAGUUCGCGGUGUUCCGAAUCCUAUAAUACAACCCUCCGAAGGGAACGUCGCUCCAGGGCAGACAAGCAGGCAUAUUAUAGAAAUCUCACGGUGCGACCUAAUGGAAGAGACCGUGGGAUGUGCUGCCACAAAUCCCUCACCCACUUACUAUGAACUACUUCCCCUAUUCACCUUGAUUUUGAUCCAUGCAAACACUCUCCGAAGGGAGGCCGCUCCUAUGCACGGCACAAAGCCCUGCAUGGACCUCACGGUGUGAACUCUUAGGGACACUAGAGCUAAAAUACAUUAUUUUUCUCUAGUUGAAGUGUUCUAAAAGAAAAAAAUAGGGUAAUCCAAACUUCAAGAUUUAUAUUUAGGCUAACUUAAACAAAUCUUAAGUCUAGAUAAAACAUCCAAGUAUAACCAUUAUACAGGAUUUUAACCUAUGAUGUCUAGGUGAAAAACCAUUUUUAUUACCUCACACCUCUCACGAAUGCUCAUAAAACUAGGUUAACUAGGCUCAAGAACUGAUUACGAUCUCCAGGUAGGAGGUGUUCCGUAAACCGUCAACUUAAGAACCUCCAACCUUAGUCAUCUUAUCUGACUUGUUGACAAGAUUGAACCAGGUGAGCCUUUUGUAACCAGUUUUACAAGAUAUCGACCUAUUUCUAUGAAAAAUGGAAGAUAUGUUUAACCUAAGUGAGCAUGCAUUUAAUCUUUGUUAUUGAUUUUAAAAGUCUAAUUUAUUUUAUAACACUUAUAAAAACUUUUAAACUUAAUCAAUCAUUUUAUCAAUAUAUAAUAAAAACAAUCAAUUAAUAUGGAUUUUAAUUUAUUUAACUUUAAUUAAAUCAUAUUUAAUUAAAUUAAAUCAAACAAUAAUUAAUUAAUUUGAUUAAAUCAUAUUUAAUCAAGAAUAACUUAAUUAAUUAAAUAAUUAAUUAAUCAUAUUAAUUAAUUUCCAUAUUAAUCAAUUAACAUGCAUACAAUACAAUAUAACCUUUAUAUCAUACAUUUUAAUGCAUGAACAUGUUAACCUAUGGUGGGAUUUUAAAUCUAUAUGACAUUCAAAAUGCACAUACAAAUUUAAAGUAAUUUAAUCAUACAUCACAUGCAUAAAUAAAAAAAACACCCUAAAAUGGACUGAUUUUUGGCUCCUAAAUUAAGCUAAGUGCUAAAUUAUUACAUAAUUAAUUUGGUGUAGUACAGAACCACUCCCAAAAAUUUCGAACCGGCUAAAAAACCAACCGAACCGCUUGAACCGGCCCAAAAACCAAAUUUAUUGGCUUGAACCGGCCCAGGCGCACACGGGUCGUGCGAAGGCAGGCGCGCGGGCGAAGGCGGGCGCGCGGGCGCAUGCGGGCGCGCGGACACAUGCGCGCGCGGCGCGCAUGCAGGGCGCGCGGCGCAGGAGGCGCGCGGGCGCAGGAGGCGCGGGCGCAGGAGGCGCGCGGCGCAGGAGGCGCGCGGGCGCAGGAGGGCGCGCGGCGCGCGUGCGACGCAGGAGGGCGCGCGGGCGCAGGAGGGCGCGCGGGCAUGCGGGCGCGUGCGGGUCGCGAAGCGGGUCAAAACCGGGUUUUCGGGUCUGUGACCUUCUUUUCUUCAUUUUUUUCAAUUCUCUCACCCGGUUGAACAAUUACAGCCUAGCUUCAACUCUAAUGACUUUUUUUAUUUUUUUAAAAAUUACAAACACUUUGCAACAAUAAAAAUAAGCCAUUAACAAGGCUAAUUACAAUAAUUAGAACAAAAACACUUAAUCUAGAGCCAAAAUCAUAAUAUAUCCAUUUUAGUUCAAACCAAAAUUUAUCUAAUAAAUAUGAACCCACCACAUGCAAUUGGGUAAAAAUGAAGCAUGCUCUGAUACCACAUGAUAGAACUAAGUCAUGCACAGCGGAAAAAGAAUCGAAUUUCUACCCUAAUUGCCACAAUUAACAUGUAACCAUAAACUAAUCAAAUUAGGGUUUUAAGAAGUAUUACCUUUGAAGCUUUCAAAAGGUUUGAUGUCUUCUUACCAAUUCUACCCGAGACCACCACUAGUACUCAACUGCUAUCCUCUAGACAAAGAACCGGGUUGUGGGACCCAAUUUUGGUGUAGAAAGUAAUGGAGAUAAAAUGAGAUUGGAAGCUUUCUUUUUUCUUUUGUUGAGAUUAUGAAAAUGAUAAAAGAGGCAAAAGUCCUUCAACAUUUGAAAACAUCUCUAUUUAUAGCCUAAUUACAUGCAAAAAUGCAUGCAAUUCAAUUGCCAAAUCUCAACACCUAAUAUUCCACUAACAAUUAGUGGAACUUAGUGGGCUAGGUGUCUAUAUCUCAUAUAGCCACAUAUCCCACUAAGAGUUAGUGGGAUUAUCCAACAAAAUGUUGGAUUUUCCCACUAACUUAGUCCAAGGGUAAAAUGGUCAUUAGAUUUUUCUAGUCAAAAGUCAAACUUUGACUUUUCUAAGUCAAAAGUCAAUAUUUUGACUUUUUACCAUUUUGUCCGUCUUGACUAAUUCCAACCUCCCGAGCAUGAAUCCGCAUUCAUUUUUCCAAAAUUCAAAUCACAUUUGAAUAUAAGGCCGGUCAAAGUUUGACUUUUCAAAGUCAAAAGUCAACAUUUUGACUUUUUACUAUUUUUGACCAAUUCCGAGCUUCUUAGUAUGAAUCCGCAUUCAUACUUAUAGUAUGUAAAACAUAAAGCUCUAUUUCUAAUUAGAAGACCGACGAUUAUAUCACUGUAUAUGUCGGUUUUCCUCUUCUCCCUAUUCGAACAAUUCGACUUAUUUCAUCACACUGUUCUAAGUUUAAUCCAUAUGAGCUAGCAGAGGAACCUAAUGGACCUAUAGAUCAUGGGCUCCAACGAUUCAAGAUUAACUAGCUAAACUCUUUUAAACCGAGUUAAUCAACAUUCGUUAACUAACGGGUCAUUCCACUAAAGUCCCGUAGUUGCACUCCCCUCACUAUAGAUAUAUUUGUGUCCAUUUGAUAAAACCAUAAUCAGUAAGUUAAUCCUUCACAGGUUGCUCGUAACCUUGGCUGGGUCAAAAUACCGUUUUACCCCCAAGAUUACAUCUUGCUCCUUAAGUCCCACUAAUCCACUAUUGAACAAUUGGUUUAAGGUUCAACCUAUAAACUUAAUCCCUCUCGGGCCAAUGAGAGGGUGGGGCCCCUUGUUCAAGACUUGGAUUCAGUGCUUAAGAGAGCAACCUAUCUACUAACCCUAAAGCGGGUAGGAGUGAAUUCCAUCUUGUACCCUAUGUUCCCAGCUAUCCACCCGAUCUUACCCCUGAAAUGGGAGGCUUAUUGGGCCAACGCUGAUGAGCUGCCCUCACCUAUGCAGAUCUAAGGAUAAUCUCGUAUGAACAGGAGUUCAUAGUUAACUCAGGAUUAAGACUAAGUUACCUAGGUCAUCAAUAAUUGAGAUAGUCAGUUUUAAACAGUAAACGGUGUUAUAACGUAAAAAUGACUAAUUCAUGGUUCAGUCUUAUGUAAACAUUUUACAUAGGAUGCCCCCACUUUCAUGUCUCUACAUGAACGAUUAGGAUCACAUCGUUUGUACUACAAAGUGGGCCGCAUCCAUAGUCUCUCAAAAUAAGGCGCCCAACCUUUAUUUCAUAUACUAUAGACUAUUUAGGCUAUAUACUCGAACUUGAUCCACGUUUAUGUUUACACAUAAAGUUCAAGUUUAUUCAAAAAAUAGCCUUGGAACUUUGAUUUAUUGGAUUUAAGAUUAUAAUAUUUAAUUUCUCAAUAACAACUUUAUUGAAUAGAAUAUGAUUUACAAACUACGAGUUUUAGGACAAAAAAUUCCAACAAACUCCCACUUGGACUAAAAUUCCUAGUGGUAUGAGAGAUGUGGUGUGAGAGAAUAUAUAUGAAACUAGGGCACAUGGCCAAUAAGUCUCCCACUUGUCCUAGUUUACAAACAUCGUACACCUAAACUGUGUAGGUGACCCUCAAACACUUUAGCCAUGAGGGCUUUUGUAAAAUGAUCAGCUUCCAUUGUGGAAUCAGCUAUACAAGUUUGCUUUAUGCUUCUCCAAACUACUGCUCCUCCAUUUAGAGUAAAUACUGAUUCUGAUGUAGACUUUCUAACAUCUUUAUUAGUUUGGAAAUCUGAAUCAGUGUAUCCAGUAAGGAUCAUAUCCUUUGUACGAUACAUGAGCAUGUAGAAUGUUUUUAACGGCUGUCCAGUGAUCACGUCCAUGAUUGGAUUGAUACCUACUGACCAUCCCUACUGAGUAGCAAAUGUCAGGUCUAGUACAUAACAUAUGCAUACAUUAAACUUCCAACAGCGGAAGCAUAGGGAAUAUUUCUCAUAUCCUCAACUUCUUGAGGUGUCUUAGGACAUUGUUCCUUUGACAAAUGAAUUCCAUAUCUGUACGGCAGCAGACCCUUUUUGGAAUUCUGCAUUUUAUAUCUAGACAACAUUUUGUCUAUGUAAGAUGCUUGAGACAUGGCUAGUGUUUUGUUCUUACGGUUUCGAACAAUUUGGAUUCCGAGAACGUAUUGUGCAUCUCCCAGAUCUUUCAUUUGAAAUUGCAUAGCUAGCCAUUUCUUGAUAUCAGGAAGAUAUCCUAGUCAUUUCCAAUAAGUAGAAUAUCAUCUACAUAUAAGACUAAAAAAUGCUAUAAUGGAAUUGACGACCUUUUGUAAACACAAGGCUCGUCAACAUUUUGUUCAAAGCCAUAAGAUUUUGAUCGCAAUAUCAAAUCUUAUAUUCCAGGAUCUAGAAGCUUGUUUUAAUCCAUAAAUGGAUUUUUUAAGCUUACAAACCUUUUGUUCUUGAUCUUGUUUUAUAAACCCCUCUGGUUGAGACAUAUAGAUACUCUUCAAGAUUACCGUUCAAAAAAGCUGUCUUGACAUCCAUCUGCCAAAUUUCAUAAUCAUAAAAAGUGGCGAUGGAUAAGAGUAUUCUAAUUGACUUUAACAUGGCAACGGGAGAGAAAGUUUCCUCUAGUCUACUCCCUCUCUCUAGGUAUAACCCUUUGCCACAAGUCGAGCCUUAAAAGUCUGUACUUUACCGGCAUGGUCUCGUUUUCUCUUGUAGAUCCAUUUACAACCAAUAGGUUUUACGUCAUUUGGUUGAUCUACUAGAGUCUAGAAAGAAUUAAAGUACAUAGACUCCAUUUCGAGGUCCAUGGCUUUGAUCCAUUGGUCACGAUCUACAUCUUUCAUUGCCUGUUUAUAGGUUAAUGGAUCCUCUAUGCCAUCGUCAGGUAUGACGACUUGAGUUUCAAUUAAACCCAAAUAGCGAUCAGGCUGAUGAACAACCCUCCCACUACGUCGAGGCUCUCUCAACUGUUGAGAAGGAUGUGAUUGACCAGAUUUCCUAGUCUUAUCAACUACUUUAGUGGAUGAACUAGGUUUUAUCUAUAGCACUUUUGGAAAUUUCUUUAAAUACUAGUUUACUACGAGGUUGAUGAUCCCUGAUGUGGUAUUUUAUUUUCUUGAGGAUCAUAAAACAAACCACCUCUUGAUUCUUUUGGAUAACCUAUAAAAAAGCAUAAUUUUGAACGAUGUUCCAAUUUCUUUGGAUUUUGUACCAACACAUGUGCUGGACAACCCCAAAUUUUAAAAUGACGUAAACUGCCUUUACGCCCUUUCCAUAGCUCAUAAGGUGUUUCUGAAACACUUUUAGAGGGAACAUUAUUCAAAAUAUAAGCAGCUGUUUCUAAAGCAUAUCCCCAAAAAGAAUCUGACAUCUGAGAAAAACUCAUCAUAGAGCGAACCAUGUCUAACAAGGUCCAGUUUCUUCUUUCUGAUACACCGUUCUGUUGAGGUGUACUAGGUGCAGAGAGUUGUGACUGGAUUCCAUUUUCUAUUAAAUAGUCUCGGAAUCGUAAGUCCAUAUACUCUCCACCUCGAUCUGAUCGAAGUAUUUUUAUUGUUUUACCUAAUUCGUUUUCUACUUCAGCCUUAUAUUCUUUGAACUUUUCAAGACUAUUAGACUUAUGAUGUAUUAGGUAAAUAUGACCAUACCUUGAAUAAUCAUCAAUGAAGCUAAUGAAAUAUUCAUAUCCACCUCGAGUUUUGACAUUCAUUGGUCCACAAAGGUCCGAAUGUACGAGCUCUAAGGGUCCUUUGGCUCUUAGACCUUUUCCAGUAAAAGAUCUCUUGGUCAUUUUUCCUUCAAGACAAGAUUCACAAGGAGGUAAAGAGUUAUCUUCUAACGGACUUAGAAGCCCACUUUUAACCAAUCUCCCAAUCCUAUUGAGAUUUAUGUGACCAAGUCUUAAGUGCCAUAAAUAGGCAUUAGAAGAAACUUUUUGUCUUUUAUUCUGAGUUUCAGCUGUUCUGAAUAUUUCAGUAUUUAAGACAAAAUUUGCUCUAGUUGGUCUUAACUUAUAUAAGUUGUCUUCAAGUAUAGCAGAACAAACUAGAAUACCUUUAUAGAAAACGAACGCUUCAUUAAUUUCAAAAGAUAUUCUAUACAUUUGUUCCAAAAUACAAGAGAUAGAUAUUAAAUUUCUUUUCAUUUGAGGUACAUAUAAGACAUUCUUAAGUAUGACAUAUCUAUCUCUAAAAAACAACUUUAAAUCUCCCACUGCUGAAGCUGAGACCAUCUCUCCUGUUCCAACCUUGAGAGUGAUCUCGCCUUCUGAAAGCUUUUUCCAAGAACUAUUUUCCUGAAAUGAGAAGCAAAUAUGGUUAGUGGCUCCUGAAUCUAGUAUCCAGGUAGAAUUUUCAUAUUCCACUAAACAUGUUUCUACAACUAGUAAAUCAUAUUUACCUUGUGUUUCCUUCUCUGCCUUUUUUUCUGCAAGGUAUUUUGGGCAGUUUCUUAACCAGUGCCCGUUUUGGCCACAAUGGUAACACUUACCUUUUUCUGCAGCUUUCUUACCCUUGUUCUGUUUGGGAGUCUUUCCCUUUCCCUUCUUUUUUAUUUGAGCAUUAGGUUUUGAGGGUCCAGCUUUGGUUUUAGAGGACGAUCCUCUUAUAAAUUUUCUUUUUGUGGUAGCAACAUUUGCUUCCACUUGUUUUCCUUUACCCAUAGUUAGGUUUUGGAAUCGCUGGAGUUCAUUCAGAAGGGUUGUCAAGUUAAAUUCUAUCUUGUUCAAAGACGCAUUCGUUUGGAAUGGAAUGAAGCUCUUCGGAAGAGACUCUAAGAUAAAACUAACUUGAUUAACCUCUUCGAUGGGACCACCAUUCACUUCAGCGAUGUUGAAGUGCAUCAUCAUGUCCAGAACAUGUUCUCUAACAGAGGUCCCUUCCUUCAUACGCUUAGUGUAAAUGUAUUUGACUGCCUCGUGUCUUAAGGACCAUUCUGGUUGCCCAAACAUUCCCCUUAAUGAAUCCAUAAUCUCUUUAGCCGUGGCUAAGGAUUCAUGUUUCUUUGCCAAUACAUCAGACAUGCUGGCAAGAAUGUAAACACGGGCUUUUUCAUUAGCUUUUAUCCAUCGAUCAUAUGCAUCCCGACUAGUUCGGUUAGCAUUAGAGGCAGGGUUUUGAGGACAUUCCUCAGUUAAGACAAAUCUUAAAUCGUCAACCACUAGUAUUGUGUUAAGAUUUGAUUUCCAAGCCGCAUAAUUAUCGCCAUUAAGUUUUUCGGAAGCUAAAAGUUGAACUAUUGAGCUAUUCAUGCUGAAAAACAAACAUAUUCUUUUUAGGAAAAAACUAUAAUCAUAAAAAAUAUCCAAUCUAAUUUAGCAAUUACUAAUAAUGUACCCUUUCAUUAUUUGUAUUUUGCAACAAUAUUUCAAAGGUUUAGAACAACCUUCUCCGAAGGGUAGUUGAUUAUUCCUCCUUUGAACCAAGACAAUCUUGACUAGAUGCUAUCUCAAGAAUAACUCUUUAUUCUUUAUAGCACUUAGUUAUCGCUACUUUAGUCAAGAAUAUACUAACAACUUAGUAAUUCUUGUAAGUGUUACCCACCAUUUUCAGAUUUUAUAGAUUAGAAUCAUUUAUGAAAACUAAUCUAAGAAAUCCUAUCCAGUUUUGGAGUUCGCGGUGUUCCGAAUCCUAUAAUACAACCCUCCGAAGGGAACGUCGCUCCAGGGCAGACAAGCAGGCAUAUUAUAGAAAUCUCACGGUGCGACCUAAUGGAAGAGACCGUGGGAUGUGCUGUCACAAAUCCCUCACCCACUUACUAUGAACUACUUCCCCUAUUCACCUUGAUUUUGAUCCAUGCAAACACUCUCCGAAGGGAGGCCGCUCCUAUGCACGGCACAAAGCCCUGCAUGGACCUCACGGUGUGUGAACUCUUAGGGACACUAGAGCUAAAAUACAUUAUUUUUCUCUAGUUGAAGUGUUCUAGAAAAAAAUAGGGUAAUCCAAACUUCAAGAUUUAUAUUUAGGCUAACUUAAACAAAUCUUAAGUCUAGAUAAAACAUCCAAGUAUAACCAUUAUACAGGAUUUUAACCUAUGAUGUCUAGGUGAAAAACCAUUUUUAUUACCUCACACCUCUCACGAAUGCUCAUAAAACUAGGUUAACUAGGCUCAAGAACUGAUUACGAUCUCCAGGUAGGAGGUGUUCCGUAAACCGUCAACUUAAGAACCUCCAACCUUAGUCAUCUUAUCUGACUUGUUGACAAGAUUGAACCAGGUGAGCCUUUUGUAACCAGUUUUACAAGAUAUCGACCUAUUUCUAUGAAAAAUGGAAGAUAUGUUUAACCUAAGUGAGCAUGCAUUUAAUCUUUGUUAUUGAUUUUAAAAGUCUAAUUUAUUUUAUAACACUUAUAAAAAUUUUAAACUUAAUCAAUCAUUUUAUCAAUAUAUAAUAAAAACAAUCAAUUAAUAUGGAUUUUAAUUUAUUUAACUUUAAUUAAAUCAUAUUUAAUUAAAUUAAAUCAAACAAUAAUUAAUUAAUUUGAUUAAAUCAUAUUUAAUCAAGAAUAACUUAAUUAAUUAAAUAAUUAAUUAAUCAUAUUAAUUAAUUUCCAUAUUAAUCAAUUAACAUGCAUACAAUACAAUAUAACCUUUAUAUCAUACAUUUUAAUGCAUGAACAUGUUAACCUAUGGUGGGAUUUUAAAUCUAUAUGACAUUCAAAAUGCACAUACAAAUUUAAAGUAAUUUAAUCAUACAUCACAUGCAUAAAUAAAAAAAACACCCUAAAAUGGACUGAUUUUUGGCUCCUAAAUUAAGCUAAGUGCUAAAUUAUUACAUAAUUAAUUUGGUGUAGUACAGAACCACUCCCAAAAAUUUCGAACCGGCUAAAAAACCAACCGAACCGCUUGAACCGGCCCAAAAACCAAAUUUAUUGGCUUGAACCGGCCCAGGCGCACACGGGUCGUGCGAAGGCAGGCGCGCGGGCGAAGGCGGCGCGCGGGCGCAUGCGGGCGCGGCGCAGCGGCGCGCGGGCGCAUGCAGGCGCGCGGGCGCAGGAGGCGCGCGGGCGCAGGAGGGCGCGCGCGCGGCGGCGCAGGAGGGCGCGCGGCGCAGGAGGGCGGCGGGCGCGUGCGGACGCAGGAGGCGCGGGCGCAGGAGGGCGCGGGCAUGCGGGCGCGUGCGGGUCGCGAAGCGGGUCAAAACCGGGUUUUCGGGUCUGUGACCUUCUUUUCUUCAUUUUUUCAAUUCCUCUCACCCGGUUGAACUAAUUACAGCCUAGCUUCAACUCUAAUGACUUUUUUUUUUUUUAAAAAUUACAAACACUUUGCAACAAUAAAAAUAAGCCAUUAACAAGGCUAAUUACAAUAAUUAGAACAAAAAACACUUAAUCUAGAGCCAAAAUCAUAAAUAUCCAUUUUAGUUCAAACCAAAAUUUAUCUAAUAAAUAUGAACCACAUGCAAUUGGUAAAAAUGAAGCAUGCUCUGAUACCACAUGAUAGAACUAAGUCAUGCACAGCGGAAAAAGAAUCGAAUUUCUACCCUAAUUGCCACAAUUAACAUCUAACCAUAAACUAAUCAAAUUAGGGUUUUAAGAAGUAUUACCUUUGAAGCUUUCAAAAAGGUUUGAUGUCUUCUUACCAAUUCUACCCGAGACCACCACUAGUACUCAACUGCUAUCCUCUAGACAAAGAACCGGGUUGUGGACCCAAUUUUGGUGUAGAAAGUAAUGGAGAUAAAAUGAGAUUGGAAGCUUUCUUUUUUUCUUUUGUUGAGAUUAUGAAAAUGAUAAAAGAGGCAAAAGUCCUUCAACAUUUGAAAACAUCUCUAUUUAUAGCCUAAUUACAUGCAAAAAUGCAUGCAAUUCAAUUGCCAAAUCUCAACACCUAAUAUUCCACUAACAAUUAGUGGAACUUAGUGGCUAGGUGUCUAUAUCUCAUAUAGCCACAUAUCCCACUAAGAGUUAGUGGGAUUAUCCAACAAAGUUGGAUUUUCCCACUAACUUAGUCCAAGGGUAAAAUGGUCAUUAGAUUUUUCUAGUCAAAAGUCAAACUUUGACUUUUCUAAGUCAAAAGUCAAUAUUUUGACUUUUUACCAUUUUGUCCGUCUUGACUAAUUCCAACCUCCCGAGCAUGAAUCCGCAUUCAUUUUUCCAAAAUUCAAAUCACAUUUGAAUAUAAGGCCGGUCAAAGUUUGACUUUUCAAAGUCAAAAGUCAACAUUUUGACUUUUUACUAUUUUUGACCAAUUCCGAGCUUCUUAGUAUGAAUCCGCAUUCAUACUUAUAGUAUGUAAACAUAAAGCUCUAUUUCUAAUUAGAAGACCGACGAUUAUAUCACUGUAUAUGUCGGUUUUCCUUUCUUCUCCCUAUUCGAACAAUUCGACUUAUUUCAUCACACUGUUCUAAGUUUAAUCCAUAUGACUAGCAGAGGAACCUAAUGGACCUAUAGAUCAUGGCUCCAACGAUUCAAGAUUAACUAGCUAAACUCUUUUAAACCGAGUUAAUCAACAUUCGUUAACUAACGGGUCAUUCCACUAAAGUCCCGUAGUUGCACUCCCCUCACUAUAGAUAUAUUUGUGUCCAUUUGAUAAAACCAUAAUCAGUAAGUUAAUCCUUCACAGGUUGCUCGUAACCUUGGCUGGGUCAAAAUACCGUUUUACCCCCAAGAUUACAUCUUGCUCCUUAAGUCCCACUAAUCCACUAUUGAACAAUUGGUUUAAGGUUCAACCUAUAAACUUAAUCCCUCUCGGGCCAAUGAGAGGGUGGGGCCCCUUGUUCAAGACUUGGAUUCAGUGCUUAAGAGAGCAACCUAUCUACUAACCCUAAAGCGGGUAGGAGUGAAUUCCAUCUUGUACCCUGUUCCCAGCUAUCCACCCGAUCUUACCCCUGAAAUGGGAGGCUUUUGGGCCAACGCUGAUGAGCUGCCCUCACCUAUGCAGAUCUAAGGAUAAUCUCGUAUGAACAGGAGUUCAUAGUUAACUCAGGAUUAAGACUAAGUUACCUAGGUCAUCAAUAAUUGAGAUAGUCAGUUUUAAACAGUAAACGGUGUUAUAACGUAAAAAUGACUAAUUCAUGGUUCAGUCUUAUGUAAACAUUUUACAUAGGAUGCCCCCACUUUCAUGUCUCUACAUGAACGAUUAGGAUCACAUCGUUUGUACUACAAAGUGGGCCGCAUCCAUAGUUCUCAAAAUAAGGCGCCCAACCUUUAUUUCAUAUACUAUAGACUAUUUAGGCUAUAUACUCGAACUUGAUCCACGUUUAUGUUUACACAUAAAGUUCAAGUUUAUUCAAAAAAUAGCCUUGGAACUUUGAUUUAUUGGAUUUAAGAUUAUAAUAUUUAAUUUCUCAAUAACAACUUUAUUGAAUAGAAUAUGAUUUACAAACUACGAGUUUUAGGACAAAAAAUUCCAACACGAUAUCUGAGUGGAGUGUCUCAAAGUUUCUUGCCACAAAAGCCGAACGGUGACGCCCCAGACUCGGUUUCUUGGUUCCGUCCCAAAACGCCGAAGAAAGGCACAAUGGCCUAGAAAGGGACGGUCGGACUUGGAACGGGGUCCGAGGCCUCGAAAGUCCACAUCUAGCUACUGGGUGGUCCGAUUUUGAGUGAUCUCGAAGUUUCUUGCCCACAAAAGCCGAACGGUGACGCCCCAGACUCGGUUUCUUGGUUCCGUCCCAAAACGCCGAAGAAAGGCACAAUGGCCUAGAAAGGGACGGUCGGACUUGGAACGGGGUCCGAGGCCUCGAAAGUCCACAUCUAGCUACUGGGUGGUCCGAUUCUGAGUGAUCUCGAAGUUUCUUGCCCACAAAAGCCGAACGGUGACGCCCCAGACUCGGUUUCUUGGUUCCGUCCCAAAACGCCGAAGAAAGGCACAAUGGCCUAGAAAGGGACGGUCGGACUUGGAACGGGGUCCGAGGCCUCGAAAGUCCACAUCUAGCUACUGGGUGGUCCGAUUCUGAGUGAUCUCGAAGUUUCUUGCCCACAAAAGCCGAACGGUGACGCCCAGACUCGGUUUCUUGGUUCCGUCCCAAAACGCCGAAGAAAGGCACAAUGGCCUAGAAAGGGACGGUCGGACUUGGAACGGGGUCCGAGGCCUCGAAAGUCCACAUCUAGCUACUGGGUGGUCCGAUUCUGUGAUCUCGAAGUUUCUUGCCCACAAAAGCCGAACGGUGACGCCCCAGACUCGGUUUCUUGGUUCCGUCCCAAAACGCCGAAGAAAGGCACAAUGGCCUAGAAAGGGACGGUCGGACUUGGAACGGGGUCCGAGGCCUCGAAAGUCCACAUCUAGCUACUGGGUGGUCCGAUUCUGAGUGAUCUCGAAGUUUCUUGCCCACAAAAGCCGAACGGUGACGCCCCAGACUCGGUUUCUUGGUUCCGUCCCAAAACGCCGAAGAAAGGCACAAUGGCCUAGAAAGGGACGGUCGGACUUGGAACGGGGUCCGAGGCCUCGAAAGUCCACAUCUAGCUACUGGGUGGUCCGAUUCUGAGUGAUCUCGAAGUUUCUUGCCCACAAAAGCCGAACGGUGACGCCCCAGACUCGGUUUCUUGGUUCCGUCCCAAAACGCCGAAGAAAGGCACAAUGGCCUAGAAAGGGACGGUCGGACUUGGAACGGGGUCCGAGGCCUCGAAAGUCCACAUCUAGCUACUGGGUGGUCCGAUUCUGAGUGAUCUCGAAGUUUCUUGCCCACAAAAGCCGAACGGUGACGCCCCAGACUCGGUUUCUUGGUUCCGUCCCAAAACGCCGAAGAAAGGCACAAUGGCCUAGAAAGGGACGGUCGGACUUGGAACGGGGUCCGAGGCCUCGAAAGUCCACAUCUAGCUACUGGGUGGUCCGAUUCUGAGUGAUCUCGAAGUUUCUUGCCCACAAAAGCCGAACGGUGACCCCAGACUCGGUUUCUUGGUUCCGUCCCAAAACGCCGAAGAAAGGCACAAUGGCCUAGAAAGGGACGGUCGGACUUGGAACGGGGUCCGGCCUCGAAAGUCCACAUCUAGCUACUGGGUGGUCCGAUUCUGAGUGAUCUCGAAGUUUCUUGCCCACAAAAGCCGAACGGUGACGCCCCAGACUCGGUUUCUUGGUUCCGUCCCAAAACGCCGAAGAAAGGCACAAUGGCCUAGAAAGGGACGGUCGGACUUGGAACGGGGUCCGAGGCCUCGAAAGUCCACAUCUAGCUACUGGGUGGUCCGAUUCUGAGUGAUCUCGAAGUUUCUUGCCCACAAAAGCCGAACGGUGACGCCCCAGACUCGGUUUCUUGGUUCCGUCCCAAAACGCCGAAGAAAGGCACAAUGGCCUAGAAAGGGACGGUCGGACUUGGAACGGGGUCCGAGGCCUCGAAAGUCCACAUCUAGCUACUGGGUGGUCCGAUUCUGAGUGAUCUCGAAGUUUCUUGCCCACAAAAGCCGAACGGUGACGCCCCAGACUCGGUUUCUUGGUUCCGUCCCAAAACGCCGAAGAAAGGCACAAUGGCCUAGAAAGGGACGGUCGGACUUGGAACGGGGUCCGAGGCCUCGAAAGUCCACAUCUAGCUACUGGGUGGUCCGAUUCUGAGUGAUCUCGAAGUUUCUUGCCCACAAAAGCCGAACGGUGACGCCCCAGACUCGGUUUCUUGGUUCCGUCCCAAAACGCCGAAGAAAGGCACAAUGGCCUAGAAAGGGACGGUCGGACUUGGAACGGGGUCCGAGGCCUCGAAAGUCCACAUCUAGCUACUGGGUGGUCCGAUUCUGAGUGAUCUCGAAGUUUCUUGCCCACAAAAGCCGAACGGUGACGCCCCAGACUCGGUUUCUUGGUUCCGUCCCAAAACGCCGAAGAAAGGCACAAUGGCCUAGAAAGGGACGGUCGGACUUGGAACGGGGUCCGAGGCCUCGAAAGUCCACAUCUAGCUACUGGGUGGUCCGAUUCUGAGUGAUCUCGAAGUUUCUUGCCCACAAAAGCCGAACGGUGACGCCCAGACUCGGUUUCUUGGUUCCGUCCCAAAACGCCGAAGAAAGGCACAAUGGCCUAGAAAGGGACGGUCGGACUUGGAACGGGGUCCGAGGCCUCGAAAGUCCACAUCUAGCUACUGGGUGGUCCGAUUCUGAGUGAUCUCGAAGUUUCUUGCCCACAAAAGCCGAACGGUGACGCCCCAGACUCGGUUUCUUGGUUCCGUCCCAAAACGCCGAAGAAAGGCACAAUGGCCUAGAAAGGGACGGUCGGACUUGGAACGGGGUCCGAGGCCUCGAAAGUCCACAUCUAGCUACUGGGUGGUCCGAUUCUGAGUGAUCUCGAAGUUUCUUGCCCACAAAAGCCGAACGGUGACGCCCCAGACUCGGUUUCUUGGUUCCGUCCCAAAACGCCGAAGAAAGGCACAAUGGCCUAGAAAGGGACGGUCGGACUUGGAACGGGGUCCGAGGCCUCGAAAGUCCACAUCUAGCUACUGGGUGGUCCGAUUCUGAGUGAUCUCGAAGUUUCUUGCCCACAAAAGCCGAACGGUGACGCCCCAGACUCGGUUUCUUGGUUCCGUCCCAAAACGCCGAAGAAAGGCACAAUGGCCUAGAAAGGGACGGUCGGACUUGGAACGGGGUCCGAGGCCUCGAAAGUCCACAUCUAGCUACUGGUGGUCCGAUUCUGAGUGAUCUCGAAGUUUCUUGCCCACAAAAGCCGAACGGUGACGCCCCAGACUCGGUUUCUUGGUUCCGUCCCAAAACGCCGAAGAAAGGCACAAUGGCCUAGAAAGGGACGGUCGGACUUGGAACGGGGUCCGAGGCCUCGAAAGUCCACAUCUAGCUACUGGGUGGUCCGAUUCUGAGUGAUCUCGAAGUUUCUUGCCCACAAAAGCCGAACGGUGACGCCCCAGACUCGGUUUCUUGGUUCCGUCCCAAAACGCCGAAGAAAGGCACAAUGGCCUAGAAAGGGACGGUCGGACUUGGAACGGGGUCCGAGGCCUCGAAAGUCCACAUCUAGCUACUGGGUGGUCCGAUUCUGAGUGAUCUCGAAGUUUCUUGCCCACAAAAGCCGAACGGUGACCCCCAGACUCGGUUUCUUGGUUCCGUCCCAAAACGCCGAAGAAAGGCACAAUGGCCUAGAAAGGGACGGUCGGACUUGGAACGGGGUCCGGCCUCGAAAGUCCACAUCUAGCUACUGGGUGGUCCGAUUCUGUGAUCUCGAAGUUUCUUGCCCACAAAAGCCGAACGGUGACGCCCCAGACUCGGUUUCUUGGUUCCGUCCCAAAACGCCGAAGAAAGGCACAAUGGCCUAGAAAGGGACGGUCGGACUUGGAACGGGGUCCGAGGCCUCGAAAGUCCACAUCUAGCUACUGGGUGGUCCGAUUCUGAGUGAUCUCGAAGUUUCUUGCCCACAAAAGCCGAACGGUGACGCCCCAGACUCGGUUUCUUGGUUCCGUCCCAAAACGCCGAAGAAAGGCACAAUGGCCUAGAAAGGGACGGUCGGACUUGGAACGGGGUCCGAGGCCUCGAAAGUCCACAUCUAGCUACUGGGUGGUCCGAUUCUGUGAUCUCGAAGUUUCUUGCCCACAAAAGCCGAACGGUGACGCCCCAGACUCGGUUUCUUGGUUCCGUCCCAAAACGCCGAAGAAAGGCACAAUGGCCUAGAAAGGGACGGUCGGACUUGGAACGGGGUCCGAGGCCUCGAAAGUCCACAUCUAGCUACUGGGUGGUCCGAUUCUGAGUGAUCUCGAAGUUUCUUGCCCACAAAAGCCGAACGGUGACGCCCCAGACUCGGUUUCUUGGUUCCGUCCCAAAACGCCGAAGAAAGGCACAAUGGCCUAGAAAGGGACGGUCGGACUUGGAACGGGGUCCGAGGCCUCGAAAGUCCACAUCUAGCUACUGGGUGGUCCGAUUCUGAGUGAUCUCGAAGUUUCUUGCCCACAAAAGCCGAACGGUGACGCCCCAGACUCGGUUUCUUGGUUCCGUCCCAAAACGCCGAAGAAAGGCACAAUGGCCUAGAAAGGGACGGUCGGACUUGGAACGGGGUCCGAGGCCUCGAAAGUCCACAUCUAGCUACUGGGUGGUCCGAUUCUGUGAUCUCGAAGUUUCUUGCCCACAAAAGCCGAACGGUGACGCCCCAGACUCGGUUUCUUGGUUCCGUCCCAAAACGCCGAAGAAAGGCACAAUGGCCUAGAAAGGGACGGUCGGACUUGGAACGGGGUCCGAGGCCUCGAAAGUCCACAUCUAGCUACUGGGUGGUCCGAUUCUGAGUGAUCUCGAAGUUUCUUGCCCACAAAAGCCGAACGGUGACGCCCCAGACUCGGUUUCUUGGUUCCGUCCCAAAACGCCGAAGAAAGGCACAAUGGCCUAGAAAGGGACGGUCGGACUUGGAACGGGGUCCGAGGCCUCGAAAGUCCACAUCUAGCUACUGGGUGGUCCGAUUCUGAGUGAUCUCGAAGUUUCUUGCCCACAAAAGCCGAACGGUGACGCCCCAGACUCGGUUUCUUGGUUCCGUCCCAAAACGCCGAAGAAAGGCACAAUGGCCUAGAAAGGGACGGUCGGACUUGGAACGGGGUCCGAGGCCUCGAAAGUCCACAUCUAGCUACUGGGUGGUCCGAUUCUGAGUGAUCUCGAAGUUUCUUGCCCACAAAAGCCGAACGGUGACGCCCCAGACUCGGUUUCUUGGUUCCGUCCCAAAACGCCGAAGAAAGGCACAAUGGCCUAGAAAGGGACGGUCGGACUUGGAACGGGGUCCGAGGCCUCGAAAGUCCACAUCUAGCUACUGGGUGGUCCGAUUCUGUGAUCUCGAAGUUUCUUGCCCACAAAAGCCGAACGGUGACGCCCCAGACUCGGUUUCUUGGUUCCGUCCCAAAACGCCGAAGAAAGGCACAAUGGCCUAGAAAGGGACGGUCGGACUUGGAACGGGGUCCGAGGCCUCGAAAGUCCACAUCUAGCUACUGGGUGGUCCGAUUCUGAGUGAUCUCGAAGUUUCUUGCCCACAAAAGCCGAACGGUGACGCCCCAGACUCGGUUUCUUGGUUCCGUCCCAAAACGCCGAAGAAAGGCACAAUGGCCUAGAAAGGGACGGUCGGACUUGGAACGGGGUCCGAGGCCUCGAAAGUCCACAUCUAGCUACUGGGUGGUCCGAUUCUGAGUGAUCUCGAAGUUUCUUGCCCACAAAAGCCGAACGGUGACGCCCCAGACUCGGUUUCUUGGUUCCGUCCCAAAACGCCGAAGAAAGGCACAAUGGCCUAGAAAGGGACGGUCGGACUUGGAACGGGGUCCGAGGCCUCGAAAGUCCACAUCUAGCUACUGGGUGGUCCGAUUCUUGUGAUCUCGAAGUUUCUUGCCCACAAAAGCCGAACGGUGACGCCCCAGACUCGGUUUCUUGGUUCCGUCCCAAAACGCCGAAGAAAGGCACAAUGGCCUAGAAAGGGACGGUCGGACUUGGAACGGGGUCCGAGGCCUCGAAAGUCCACAUCUAGCUACUGGGUGGUCCGAUUCUGAGUGAUCUCGAAGUUUCUUGCCCACAAAAGCCGAACGGUGACGCCCCAGACUCGGUUUCUUGGUUCCGUCCCAAAACGCCGAAGAAAGGCACAAUGGCCUAGAAAGGGACGGUCGGACUUGGAACGGGGUCCGAGGCCUCGAAAGUCCACAUCUAGCUACUGGGUGGUCCGAUUCUGAGUGAUCUCGAAGUUUCUUGCCCACAAAAGCCGAACGGUGACGCCCCAGACUCGGUUUCUUGGUUCCGUCCCAAAACGCCGAAGAAAGGCACAAUGGCCUAGAAAGGGACGGUCGGACUUGGAACGGGGUCCGAGGCCUCGAAAGUCCACAUCUAGCUACUGGGUGGUCCGAUUCUGAGUGAUCUCGAAGUUUCUUGCCCACAAAAGCCGAACGGUGACGCCCAGACUCGGUUUCUUGGUUCCGUCCCAAAACGCCGAAGAAAGGCACAAUGGCCUAGAAAGGGACGGUCGGACUUGGAACGGGGUCCGAGGCCUCGAAAGUCCACAUCUAGCUACUGGGUGGUCCGAUUCUGAGUGAUCUCGAAGUUUCUUGCCCACAAAAGCCGAACGGUGACGCCCAGACUCGGUUUCUUGGUUUGUCCCAAAACGCCGAAGAAAGGCACAAUGGCCUAGAAAGGGACGGUCGGACUUGGAACGGGGUCCGAGGCCUCGAAAGUCCACAUCUAGCUACUGGGUGGUCCGAUUCUGAGUGAUCUCGAAGUUUCUUGCCCACAAAAAGCCAAACGGUGACGCCCUAGACUCGGUUUGUUGGUUCCGUCCCAAAACGUCGAAGAAAGCACAAUGGCCUAGAAAGGGACAGUCGGACUUUGGAACGGUGUCCGAGGCGUCGAAAGUCCACAUCUAGCUACUCGGUGGUCCGAUUCUGAGUGAUCUCGAAGUUUCUUGCCCACAAAAGGCGAACGGUGACGCCCCAGACUCGGUUUCUUGGUUCCAUCCGAAAACGCCGGAAGAAAGGCACAAUGGCCUAGAAAGGGACGGUCGGACUUGGAACGCGGUGCGAGGCCUCAAAAGUCCACAUCUAGCUACUGGGUGGUCCGAUUCUGAGUGAUCUCGAACUUUCUUGCCCACAAAAGGCGAACGGUGACGCCCAGACUCGGUUUCUUGGUUCCGUCCCAAAACGUCGAAGAAAGGCACAAUGGCCUAGAAAGGGACGGUCGGACUUGGAACGGUGUCCGAGGCCUCGAAAGUCCACAUCUAGCUACUGGGUGGUUCGAUUCUGAGUGAUCUCGAAGUUUCUUGCCCACAAAAGGCGAACGGUGACGCCCAGACUCGGUUUCUUGGUUCCGUCCGAAAACGCCGAAGAAAGGCACAAUGGCCUAGAAAGGGACGGUCGGACUUGGAACGCGGUCCGAGGCCUCGAAAGUCCACAUCUAGCUACUGGGUGGUCCGAUUCUGAGUGAUCUCGAACUUUCUUGCCCACAAAAGCCGAACGGUGUCGCCCCAGACUCGGUUUCUUGGUUCCGUCCCAAAACGCCGAAGAAAGGCACAAUGGCCUAGAAAGGGACGGUCGGACUUGGAACGGGGUCCGAGGCCUCGAAAGUCCACAUCUAGCUACUGGGUGGUCCGAUUCUGAGUGAUCUCGAAGUUUCUUGCCCACAAAAGCGAACGGUGACGCCCAGACUCGGUUUCUUGGUUCCGUCCCAAAACGCCGAAGAAAGGCCCAAUGGCCUAGAAAGGGACGGUCGGACUUGGAACGGGGUCCGAGGCCUCGAAAGUCCACAUCUAGCUACUGGGUUGUCCGAUUCUGAGUGAUCUCGAAGUUUCUUGCCCACAAAAGCCGAACGGUGACGCCCCAGACUCGGUUUCUUGGUUUUGUCCCAUAACGGCGAAGAAAGGCACAAUGGCCUAGAAAGGGACGGUCGGACUUGGAACGGGGUCCGAGGCCUCGAAAGUCCACAUCUAGCUACUGGGUGGUCCGAUUCUGAGUGAUCUCGAAGUUUCUUGCCCACAAAAGCCAAACGGUGACGCCCUAGACUCGGUUUGUUGGUUCCGUCCCAAAACGUCGAAGAAAGGCACAAUGGCCUAGAAAGGGACAGUCGGACUUGGAACGGUGUCCGAGGCCUCGAAAGUCCACAUCUAGCUACUCGGUGGUCCGAUUCUGAGUGAUCUCGAAGUUUCUUGCCCACAAAAGGCGAACGGUGACGCCUCAGACUCGGUUUCUUGGUUCCGUCCGAAAACGCCGAAGAAAGGCACAAUGGCCUAGAAAGGGACGGUCGGACUUGGAACGCGGUGCGAGGCCUCAAAAGUCCACAUCUAGCUACUGGGUGGUCCGAUUCUGAGUGAUCUCGAACUUUCUUGCCCACAAAAGCCGAACGGUGACGCCCCAGACUCAGUUUCUUGGUUCCGUCCCAAAACGCCGAAGAAAGGCACAAUGGCCUAGAAAGGGACGGUCGGACUUGGAACGGGGUCCGAGGCCUCGAAAGUCCACAUCUAGCUACUCGGUGGUCCGAUUCUGAGUGAUCUCGAAGGUUCUUGCCCACAAAAGGCGAACGGUGACGCCCAGACUCGGUUUCUUGGUUCCGUCCCAAAACGCCGAAGAAAGGCACAAUAGGGUAAUCCAAGCUUCAAGAUUUAUAUUUAGGCUAACUUAAACAAAUCUUAAGUCUAGAUAAAACAUCCAAGUAUAACCAUUAUACAGGAUUUUAACCUAUGAUGUCUAGGUGAAAAACCAUUUUUAUUACCUCACACUCUCACGAAUGCUCAUAAAACUAGGUUAACUAGGCUCAAGAACUGAUUACGAUCUUCAGUAGGAGGUGUUCCGUAAACCGUCAACUUAAGAACCUCCAACCUUAGUCAUCUUAUCUGACUUGUUGACAAGAUUGAACCAGGUGAGCCUUUUGUAACCAGUUUUACAAGAUAUCGACCUAUUUCUAUGAAAAAUGGAAGAUAUGUUUAACCUAAGUGAGCAUGCAUUUAAUCUUUGUUAUUGAUUUUAAAAAGUCUAAUUUAUUUUAUAACACUUAUAAAAACUUCUAUACUUAAUCAAUCAUUUUAUCAAUAUAUACUCUUAUAAAAACAAUCAAUUAAUAUGGAUUUUAAUUUAUUUAACUUUAAUUAAAUCAUAUUUAAUUAAAUUAAAUCAAACAAUAAUUAAUUAAUUUGAUUAAAUCAUAUUUAAUCAAGAAUAACUUAAUUAAUUAAUAAUUAAUUAAUCAUAUUAAUUAAUUUCCAUAUUAAUCAAUUAACAUGCAUACAAUACAAUAUAACCUUUAUAUCAUACAUUUUAAUGCAUGAACAUGUUAACCUAUGGUGGGAUUUUAAAUCUAUAUGACAUUCAAAAUGCACAUACAAAUUUAAAUAACUUAAUCAUACAUCACAUGCAUAAAUAAAAAAAACACCCUAAAAUUGACUGAUUUUUGGCUCCUAAAUUAAGCUAAGUGCUAAAUUAUUACAUAAUUAAUUUGGUGUAGUACAGAACCACUCCCAAAAACUUCGAACCGGCUAAAAAACCAACCGAAACCGCUUGAACCGGCCCAAAAACCAAAUUUAUUGGCUUGAACCGGCCCAGGCGCACACGGGUCGUGCGAAGGCAGGCGCGCGGGCGAAGGCGGGCGCGGGCGCAUGCGGGCGGCGGGCGGAUGCGGGCGCGCAGGCGCAUGCGGCGCGCGGCGCAGCGGCGCGCAGGCGCAUGCGGCGCGGCAGGCGGCGCGGGCGCAUGCGGCGCGCAGGCGGCAGGCGGGCGCGGGGCGCAGGAGGGCGCGCGGCAUGCGGGUCGCGAAGCGGGUCAAGGCCGGGUUUUCGGGUCUGUGACCUUCUUUUCUUCAUUUUUUUCAAUUCUCUCACCCGGUUGAACCAAUUACAGCCUAGCUUCAACUCUAAUGACUUUUUUAUUUUUUAAAAAUUACAAACACUUUGCAACAAUAAAAAUAAGCCAUUAACAAGGCUAAUUACAAUAAUUAGAACAAAAACACUUAAUCUAGAGCCAAAAUCAUAAUAUAUCCAUUUUAGUUCAAACCAAAAUUUUCUAAUAAAUUUGAACCCACAAUGCAAUUGGGUAAAAAUGAAGCUCUGAUCCACCAUGAUAGAACUAAGUCUGCACAGCGGAAAAAGAAUCGAAUUUCUACCCUAAUUGCCACAAAUUAACAUCUUAACCAUAAAACUAAUCAAUUAGGGUUUUAAGAAGUAUUACCUUUGAAGCUUUCAAAAGGUUUGAUGUCUUCUUACAAUUCUACGAGAACCACUAGUACUCAACUGCUAUCCUCUAGACAAAGAACCGGGUUGUGGGACCCAAUUUUGGUGUAGAAAGUAAUGGAGAUAAAAUGAGAUUGGAAGCUUUCUUUUUUCUUUUGUUGAGAUUAUGAAAAGAUAAAAGAGGCAAAAAGUCCUUCAACAUUUGAAAACAUCUCUAUUUAUAGCCUAAUUACAUGCAAAAAUGCAUACAAUUCAAUUGCCAAAUCUCAACACCUAAUAUUCCACUAACAAUUAGUGGAACUUAGUGGGCUAGGUGUCUAUAUCUCAUAUAGCCACAUAUCCCACUAAGAGUUAGUGGGAUUAUCCAACAAAAUGUUGGAUUUUCCCACUAACUUAGUCCAAGGGUAAAAUGGUCAUUUGAUUUUUCUAGUCAAAAGUCAAACUUUGACUUUUCUAAGUCAAAAGUCAAUAUUUUGACUUUUUACCAUUUUGUCCGUCUUGACUAAUUCCAACCUCCCGAGCAUGAAUCCGCAUUCAUUUUUCCAAAAUUCAAAUCACAU
This 28377-nucleotide long non-coding RNA is filed under the name Cucumis sativus (cucumber). Its description in RNAcentral is "long non-coding RNA (CSAT_LNC000174)". The record is from RNAcentral. Lineage: Eukaryota; Viridiplantae; Streptophyta; Magnoliopsida; Cucurbitales; Cucurbitaceae.